This 253-nucleotide ribosomal RNA is filed under the name uncultured bacterium. RNAcentral's name for it is "partial 16S ribosomal RNA". It matches the Rfam family "Bacterial small subunit ribosomal RNA", at positions 524 to 776 of the family's 1533-position model. The record is from RNAcentral.
UACGGAGGGUGCAAGCGUUGCUCGGAGUUACUGGGCGUAAAGCGUACGCAGGCGGCACGAUGUGUCGGGUGUGAAAGCCCUGGGCUCAACCCAGGAACGGCAUCCGAAACUGUCGAGCUAGAGUUCGGGAGAGGGAAGUGGAAUUCCUGGUGUAGAGGUGAAAUGCGCAGAUAUCAGGAGGAACACCAAUGGCGAAGGCAGCUCGCUGGGACGUGACUGACGCUGAGACGCGAAAGCGUGGGGAGCAAACAGG